Molecule: ribosomal RNA, 253 nt
Filed under: uncultured bacterium
Lineage: Bacteria
Description: partial 16S ribosomal RNA
Rfam family: Bacterial small subunit ribosomal RNA
Source: RNAcentral
UACGGAGGGUGCAAGCGUUAUCCGGAUUCACUGGGUUUAAAGGGUGCGUAGGAGGGCAGGUAAGUCAGUGGUGAAAUCUCCAAGCUUAACUUGGAAACUGCCGUUGAUACUAUCUGUCUUGAAUACCGUGGAGGUGAGCGGAAUAUGUCAUGUAGCGGUGAAAUGCUUAGAUAUGACAUAGAACACCAAUUGCGAAGGCAGCUCGCUACACGAAUAUUGACUCUGAGGCACGAAAGCGUGGGGAUCGAACAGG